RNAcentral lists this ribosomal RNA (253 nucleotides) under uncultured bacterium. RNAcentral describes it as "partial 16S ribosomal RNA". It matches the Rfam family "Bacterial small subunit ribosomal RNA", at positions 524 to 776 of the family's 1533-position model. The record is from RNAcentral.
UACGAGGGGGGCAAAUGUUGUUCGGAAUCACUGGGCGUAAAGGGAGCGUAGGCGGGCUGUCAAGUCUGGGGUGAAAUGCCGCGGCUCAACCGUGGAACUGCCUUAGAUACUGACGGCCUCGAGGGAGGUAGGGGCGUGCGGAACUGUAGGUGGAGCGGUGAAAUGCGUUGAUAUCUACAGGAACUCCGGUGGCGAAAGCGGCGCGCUGGACCUCUUCUGACGCUGAGGCGCGAAAGCUAGGGGAGCAAACGGG